CUGGUAUCCAUUUCGUUGUAAAUGUUGCAACUAAAUCAUGGUCACUGAUGUGAAAUAGUCUGGAUUUAUCUUGUCUUGUGUGUGCUGUAUGCAAAUCAGUCUUUACGGGUUGCAGACUAGUUAAAUUGACAAUGUAUUAUUUAUAUUACAUCAGCUCUUGAUGUGGUUAAAUACAUUUAAAUUAAGCAAGGUUAACAGCGGAUGUAUUAUGCAG
This is a non-coding RNA of Paramuricea clavata, 214 nucleotides long. The record is from the annotation of a GenBank genome assembly. Lineage: Eukaryota; Metazoa; Cnidaria; Anthozoa; Malacalcyonacea; Plexauridae.